This 253-nucleotide ribosomal RNA is filed under the name uncultured bacterium. RNAcentral's name for it is "partial 16S ribosomal RNA". It matches the Rfam family "Bacterial small subunit ribosomal RNA", at positions 524 to 776 of the family's 1533-position model. The record is from RNAcentral.
UACGGAGGGGGCUAGCGUUGUUCGGAAUUACUGGGCGUAAAGGGCUCGUAGGCGGCCAACUAAGUCAGACGUGAAAUCCCCAGGCUCAACCUGGGAACUGCGUCUGAUACUGGAUGGCUUGAAUCCGGGAGAGGGAUGCAGAAUUCCAGGUGUAGCGGUGAAAUGCGUAGAUAUCUGGAGGAAUACCGGUGGCGAAGGCGGCAUCCUGGACCGGCAUUGACGCUGAGGAGCGAAAGCCAGGGGAGCAAACGGG